CGGUAGGGCGGGACGGGGUGGGAGGUAAUGUCUGGGAAGAGCUCGAUGGAGGGGGAUAACUACUGGAAACGGUAGCUAAUACCGCAUAACGUCGCAAGACCAAAGAGGGGGACCUUAGGGCCUCUUGCCAUCGGAUGUGCCCAGAUGGGAUUAGCUAGUAGGUGGGGUAAAGGCUCACCUAGGCGACGAUCCCUAGCUGGUCUGAGAGGAUGACCAGCCACACUGGAACUGAGACACGGUCCAG
Molecule: ribosomal RNA, 244 nt
Filed under: uncultured bacterium
Lineage: Bacteria
Description: partial 16S ribosomal RNA
Rfam family: Bacterial small subunit ribosomal RNA
Source: RNAcentral